AGUCGAACGCUGAAGCCUGGUGCUUGCACCGGGUGGAUGAGUGGCGAACGGGUGAGUAACACGUGAGUAACCUGCCCCUGACUUCGGGAUAAGCCCGGGAAACUGGGUCUAAUACCGGAUACGACUGCCGGACGCAUGUCUGGUGGUGGAAAGUUUUUUCGGUUGGGGAUGGGCUCGCGGCCUAUCAGUUUGUUGGUGAGGUAAUGGCUCACCAAGACGACGACGGGUAGCCGGCCUGAGAGGGCGACCGGCCACACUGGGACUGAGACACGGCCCAGACUCCUACGGGAGGCAGCAGUGGGGAAUAUUGCACAAUGGGGGAAACCCUGAUGCAGCGACGCAGCGUGCGGGAUGACGGCCUUCGGGUUGUAAACCGCUUUCAGCAGGGAAGAAGCGCAAGUGACGGUACCUGCAGAAGAAGUACCGGCUAACUACGUGCCAGCAGCCGCGGUAAUACGUAGGGUACGAGCGUUGUCCGGAAUUAUUGGGCGUAAAGAGCUCGUAGGUGGUUGGUCACGUCUGCUGUGGAAACGCAACGCUUAACGUUGCGCGUGCAGUGGGUACGGGCUGACUAGAGUGCAGUAGGGGAGUCUGGAAUUCCUGGUGUAGCGGUGAAAUGCGCAGAUAUCAGGAGGAACACCGGUGGCGAAGGCGGGACUCUGGGCUGUAACUGACACUGAGGAGCGAAAGCAUGGGGAGCGAACAGGAUUAGAUACCCUGGUAGUCCAUGCCGUAAACGUUGGGCACUAGGUGUGGGGGGCAUUCCACGUUCUCCGCGCCGUAGCUAACGCAUUAAGUGCCCCGCCUGGGGAGUACGGUCGCAAGGCUAAAACUCAAAGGAAUUGACGGGGGCCCGCACAAGCGGCGGAGCAUGCGGAUUAAUUCGAUGCAACGCGAAGAACCUUACCAAGGCUUGACAUACACCGGACCGUCCUGGAAACAGGUCCUCUUCUUUGAAGCUGGUGUACAGGUGGUGCAUGGUUGUCGUCAGCUCGUGUCGUGAGAUGUUGGGUUAAGUCCCGCAACGAGCGCAACCCUCGUUCUAUGUUGCCAGCACGUGAUGGUGGGAACUCAUAGGAGACUGCCGGGGUCAACUCGGAGGAAGGUGGGGAUGACGUCAAAUCAUCAUGCCCUUUAUGUCUUGGGCUUCACGCAUGCUACAAUGGCUGGUACAGAGAGAGGCGAACCCGUGAGGGCAAGCGAAUCCCUUAAAGCCAGUCUCAGUUCGGAUCGUAGUCUGCAAUUCGACUACGUGAAGUCGGAGUCGCUAGUAAUCGCAGAUCAGCAACGCUGCGGUGAAUACGUUCCCGGGCCUUGUACACACCGCCCGUCAAGUCACGAAAGUCGGUAACACCCGAAGCCGGUGGCCUAACCGUAAGGAGGGGGCCG
RNAcentral lists this ribosomal RNA (1389 nucleotides) under Brevibacterium sp. EB8b. RNAcentral's name for it is "16S ribosomal RNA". It matches the Rfam family "Bacterial small subunit ribosomal RNA". Lineage: Bacteria; Bacillati; Actinomycetota; Actinomycetes; Micrococcales; Brevibacteriaceae. The record is from RNAcentral.